This 424-nucleotide ribosomal RNA is filed under the name uncultured Oscillospiraceae bacterium. RNAcentral describes it as "bacterial SSU rRNA". It matches the Rfam family "Bacterial small subunit ribosomal RNA", at positions 355 to 794 of the family's 1533-position model. Lineage: Bacteria; Bacillati; Bacillota; Clostridia; Eubacteriales; Oscillospiraceae. The record is from RNAcentral.
UGGGGAAUAUUGCACAAUGGGCGAAAGCCUGAUGCAGCAACGCCGCGUGAGGGAAGACGGUCUUCGGAUUGUAAACCUCUGUUUUCGGUGACGAACAAAUGACGGUAACCGAGUAGGAAGCCACGGCUAACUACGUGCCAGCAGCCGCGGUAAUACGUAGGUGGCAAGCGUUAUCCGGAAUUACUGGGUGUAAAGGGAGCGCAGGCGGGAUAGCAAGUCAGCUGUGAAAUACCGGGGCUUAACCCCGGGGCUGCAUUUGAAACUGUCAGUCUUGAGUGUCGGAGAGGUAAGCGGAAUUCCUAGUGUAGCGGUGAAAUGCGUAGAUAUUAGGAGGAACACCAGUGGCGAAGGCGGCUUACUGGACGAUAACUGACGCUGAGGCGCGAAAGCGUGGGUAGCAAACAGGAUUAGAUACCCUGGUAGU